Molecule: ribosomal RNA, 433 nt
Filed under: uncultured bacterium
Lineage: Bacteria
Description: partial 16S ribosomal RNA
Rfam family: Bacterial small subunit ribosomal RNA
Source: RNAcentral
AGCGAACGCUGGCGGCAGGCCUAACACAUGCAAGUCGAACGAACUCUUCGGAGUUAGUGGCGGACGGGUGAGUAACACGUGGGAACGUGCCUUUUGGUUCGGAAUAACUCAGGGAACCUUGUGCUAAUACCGAAUGUGCCCUUCGGGGGAAAGAUUUAUCGCCAUUAGAGCGGCCCGCGUCUGAUUAGCUAGUUGGUGAGGUAACGGCUCACCAAGGCGACGAUCGGUAGCUGGUCUGAGAGGAUGACCAGCCACACUGGGACUGAGACACGGCCCAGACUCCUACGGGAGGCAGCAGUGGGGAAUCUUGCGCAAUGGGCGAAAGCCUGACGCAGCCAUGCCGCGUGAAUGAUGAAGGUCUUAGGAUUGUAAAAUUCUUUCACCGGGGACGAUAAUGACGGUACCCGGAGAAGAAGCCCCGGCUAACUUCGUG